CCUACGGGAGGCAGCAGUGAGGAAUCUUGGUCAAUGGGCGUAAGCCUGAACCAGCCAAGUCGCGUGAGGGAUGAAGGUUCUAUGGAUCGUAAACCUCUUUUAUAAGGGAAUAAAGUGCGGGACGUGUCCCGCUUUGUAUGUACCUUAUGAAUAAGGAUCGGCUAACUCCGUGCCAGCAGCCGCGGUAAUACGGAGGACCCGAGCGUUAUCCGGAUUUAUUGGGUUUAAAGGGUGCGUAGGCGGCCUUUUAAGCAUGCGGUGAAAGUCUUUGGCUCAACCAUAGAAUGGCCGUUGAAACUGGGAGGCUUGAGUAUGUGUGAGGCAGGCGGAAUGCGUGGUGUAGCGGUGAAAUGCUUAGAUAUCACGCAGAACCCCGAUUGCGAAGGCGGCCUGCCAAGCCAUGACUGACGCUGAUGCACGAAGGCGUGGGGAUCAAACGGGAUUAGAUACCCUAGUAGUC
RNAcentral lists this ribosomal RNA (460 nucleotides) under uncultured bacterium. Its description in RNAcentral is "partial 16S ribosomal RNA". It matches the Rfam family "Bacterial small subunit ribosomal RNA", at positions 338 to 795 of the family's 1533-position model. The record is from RNAcentral.